CACUGCGCUAUCAGCCUCCCAACGCUCUAGCGGGCCGUUGGGGAAGCGCCGCCACACGGCAGCGGUUUGCCUCCGGACCUCGAGGUCUUGUGCGCCCCGAGGAGCCCUUUUGUGGGAUGACCUCAUGAGGAGAGAGCCCCCGCGCCUGGCGGCUGGAUCGCGGCCAGGGCCCUGUCAGGCGCUCGGACCUCUCAGGCCCAGUGUGUCCGCCUGGCGAACCUGUUAACCUCUGCAUCUCCGAAAGGCUGGUACCCGUGGGCGUCCGCACUGCAAAAUUGCGCCUGAGAGGCCCUGUAAAUUCGGAGCAGUGCGCAGGGUCCCGGUAACACAAGCAGAAUCGAGUUAGAAUUUGAGAGUGGGAUCCGAGGGAAGCGCGCUCAGCGGGCGGUUACAUAGCCACUGUCUUCUCUUUCUGUAAUGCGGCUGGCAGUGUGUGUUUGGUUGGUCAUCACAUUUGGAUGAAAUCAGGAGGACAGAUUCCUGCACUUUGAUACACAAUUUGACAUCACAUACCUGGAAUGCUGCUUUCUGUACACUCGGGAGAUCUUGGGGGAAAAACGGCCUGAGGAGGAAAAUGAUACUUGUUGAAUUGGUGAAAGUCCUUCCCACCAAGUGAACCCAAAGUACAAAUGAGGCAUCUUCUCUACGAACUCUUCAUAUUAGAGUACAGAUGUCUGUUCCUACCUCCACCCCCAGGACUAACUCAAGUUCAAGUAUUUCUUAAGAACCAGGAAUUGAAGAAAAAGAGAAGAGAAAAUGAGGGUUGAUUGCAUCAAAAGUGAGACACGAAUAAAAUAAUCAAGAAUUCACAUAUGUCUGUGCAGAAAUCAACUAAUAAAUCAAGAGCAUGUUCUUAGCUAAGUCAGAUGUCUCUUUGAAACAGCAUAUGGUGUAAUACCAGUAUAUUCUAUAUUCAGCUACCUAGCAAGCUGUCUUGUUGCUUUCAAGUAGUGAAGAAUAUAGUAACACAAAUGUUUAUAAGGCAGGUAAAACAUUUUAUUUUGUGCCCUGAUUAGCUAUUGCUGAUUUAAUGAAUACACUGUAAAACCUAAAAUCAUAAAGAAGAAAUGACCUGUUGGCAGAAGUGAAUGUUAAUUGUUACAGUAUCCUACAUUAAACUUAUUCAUCUUCUUAAUAGUUAUUUUGGUGUAAGUUUAACAAGUUUUUAAUUUUGUAUCAAGGCUGUAUUGUAGAGAAUUGGGGAUUUAAAUUUCUGCAUCACUUGUAGAAAGUCAUGAAAUUAUUUCAUCAUACUUCAGAUCCUCAUGAUGGUAUCAUGCUUUAAUCAGAAAAGACUAUAACACUUAAAAAUAUUAUAAUAAUGAUAUUUUACUAUAAAUAAAUAAAUCCUAGUAUAAUUAAAACUAGUUCACAUAGAUUUUUAAAACUUGAUAUAUUAAAAUGUCAGUGACUAAGUGAAGACUUCUGUGGGUGUAUAUAACUUUUUAAGUAAAGUUAUAUACUAUAUUUAAUUGACAAGUGUAGGAGAAAUAUGAAUUGUCAUUAUACUAUAAGGUCAAUGUUAGUCAAUGUCAAAUCGAAAAACUAUAUUCUACUCCUGUAUACACCUUGACCAAAAGCUGUAUAUAGUUUUUGGUCGCUAGUUCUAAAUAAGGACAACUUUAAACUGGAUAUUAUUGAGCUCUGUAUUUUAUCAAAUGGAAAAGAGAAAGAAGGAAUGGAGGAUUUAGUGAAAGGAUAAUUUCGUGAUAGAAUAAGGAGAAAAGUAACAUUGGUAUGAUUUUAUAACAAGCUCCUUUACACUUUUUACAUGUCUAUGUGAAUAAAUCAUUCCAAAUGAAA
This is a non-coding RNA of Heterocephalus glaber (naked mole-rat), 1803 nucleotides long. The record is from RefSeq and is a predicted model, not a curated record. Lineage: Eukaryota; Metazoa; Chordata; Mammalia; Rodentia; Bathyergidae.